GGGCCCGCACAAGCGGAGGAACAUGUGGUUUAAUUCGAUGAUACGCGAGGAACCUUACCCGGGAUUGAAAUGCAGAAGACGAGCCGUGAAAGCGGUUUUCCAGCAAUGGCUUCUGUGUAGGUGCUGCAUGGUUGUCGUCAGCUCGUGCCGUGAGGUGUCGGCUUAAGUGCCAUAACGAGCGCAACCCUGAUUGUCAGUUGCUAACAAGUAAAGUUGAGGACUCUGGCGAGACUGCCGGCGUAAGCUGUGAGGAAGGUUGGGAUGACGUCAAAUCAGCACGGCCCUUACAUCCGGGGCACACACGUGUUACAAUGGCAUGGACAAAGGGCAGCUACCUGGCAACAGGAUGCGAAUCUCAAAACCAUGUCUCAGUUCGGAUCGGAGUCUGCAACUCGACUCCGUGAAGCUGGAUUCGCUAGUAAUCGCGCAUCAGCCAUGGCG
This 441-nucleotide ribosomal RNA is filed under the name uncultured Bacteroidota bacterium. RNAcentral's name for it is "bacterial SSU rRNA". It matches the Rfam family "Bacterial small subunit ribosomal RNA", at positions 917 to 1359 of the family's 1533-position model. Lineage: Bacteria; Pseudomonadati; Bacteroidota. The record is from RNAcentral.